UCCAGGGGGGUAAUACGGAGGGGCGGGGGGGGGGGCGCCAAGUUAAUUCGAAUCCAGCCAGGGCUGGGGGAGCCAAGCAGCCGCAGGCUCGCGCAGCUGACUGCACGCUGCUCCUGGGCCAGAGCAGCAGGCUAUGCAGCUGCCCUCUUAUGCACCUGACUUAGAGGAAGCCCCACGAAACUCAGUGAGCCUGAUUUCCGAGCAAGCAAUGCAGAGGGAAGGGCUGCGAGAAGGCACGCAGCUCCGGCGACGGAUUACCCCGCUCCUGAAAAGCCACGCAUCCAUAAGAGCAGGGUGCCAAGGUCUCCUAGCUUUCUUCCACCUUGGCACUCAAGCCUUCCUCCAUGGGGAUUUCCAGGCAGACUCCCAUCCAGGCCCUGGCCAGACCCAGACCUGCUUAACCUCGACAAGGCAACUGCAUCAUGUGCCCUCGGACCAUAUUGGCUCUUGGCUGUUCCAAACCCUUUCCCUUUAAAAAUGCUGUAACCCACCUGGAAUCCGCAUCAUGAGACUCUGAUGAUAGCACGAGAGCUCUUUUCUGAUAACAAACAAAUACAUGUAGGAGAGGAGAGGAAGAUGAUAGUCCUGCACCUCCCAAACGAUAUGAGUUCAUCUGAAAGUUGAAACGCAGGCUUUGUGCAUCCAGUGAUAUGGUGUCAGGCUCUCUCCGUGCAAUUGGGAACCCAUGGUCAUACGCAUGAUCAAGGCUCCAUUUCAACCUCCAGAUAAACCAGCACAGGCCAAGGAUAAGGCCUGCCCCUGCUAUGGGACCCACUUCAUUCCACAUGCAUUCAGUCGUCAAAUCUUGGAAGGUAUGACAAGGACUAACCUAAAGUGGGAAGGACCGGAGGGAAACAUAUGAAGAUGAGAAAGGGCUUAGAACAGGGGCUGAUCAAAGAAAGGCCCACACCAGCGAAUCAACACUUCUCCCUAGAAAAUGCCAACCUCCGUUCUCUCCUGCUACCACCUUGCUUAUAAACGGCUAGAUCUUCAAUGGCUGCCAAACUAUUGUCUUGGAACUUGAGCAGACCGCACUUUAACAUCUAGGGUCUCUCAAGACGGCUGUUCUUCACUGUACAGCAUCUGUGUACCAAGGUUUAGCUAUGCUUUAACACCUGAAUCUUUUAAUGGACAGUACUUGUUGCUUUGGAGAGGUUUAUUAGCAUGAUGGCACCAUUGCACUUUAAUGGCGAAAUGCAUUUUACCAUCUAAGCACUGUUUGCUGCCGUCUGGAGCGUUUAUCGUUCUCAUUCAUUGCUGUUUUUAUAUAUUUGCUUUUCUUGAUUGUUCCUGUGAUAGUGUUGUAUGGAUAUUGUUCUCCUCUUAUUGUUAUACUGAGAUUGACACAAUGUUCCUGAAAUAUCAGCGAAUCAAUUAUUGCAAUGUGAAUAUGAGGUUUCCAUGUAAAUGAGGUGAUUUCCUAAUGAAUUGCUCUGAAGGGCUG
Hemicordylus capensis (graceful crag lizard) is the source of this 1444-nucleotide long non-coding RNA. RefSeq lists it as uncharacterized. Lineage: Eukaryota; Metazoa; Chordata; Lepidosauria; Squamata; Cordylidae. The transcript has 3 exons. The record is from RefSeq and is a predicted model, not a curated record.